This 1170-nucleotide unclassified non-coding RNA is filed under the name Carthamus tinctorius var. tinctorius. RNAcentral's name for it is "partial external transcribed spacer". The record is from RNAcentral. Lineage: Eukaryota; Viridiplantae; Streptophyta; Magnoliopsida; Asterales; Asteraceae.
CUUUUUGUGCAUAAUGUAUAUAUAGGGGGGUAUAGGGUGUCUCCAGAGACACUGAUCGGGCUAUGAGACACCAGACGCACGAGAGACGCACGAGAAAAGCACCGAUCAGAAGAAGCUAAGCGAGUCGGUAUACGAGUUCUUGAGACGGUUUCGAGAACUAUGCGGGUUUAUGAUGCACGAUGUGGGUUUAUCGAUGCUGUUGGGUCGGCCAAGACCCUUCGAUGUGCCUUGAACGGCCUAUUGAUCCAUGUUUGUACUAUGCUAGUUGCGCACGCUGAGGCCAGUGACUAGAUGUUAGUACGAUAUGGUGAUAUAGGUGUGUGGCAUCGGCCAAGACCCUUCGAUGUGCCUUGAAAUGCCUAUUGAUCCAUGUUUGUACUAUGCUAGUUGCGCACGCUGAGGCCAGUGACUAGAUGUUAGUACGAUAUGGUGAUAUAGGUGUGUGGCAUCGGCCAAGACCCUUCGAUGUGCCUUGAAAGGCCUAUUGAUCCAUGUUUGUACUAUGCUAGUUGCGCACGCUGAGGCCAGUGACUAGAUGUUAGUACGAUAUGGUGAUAUAGGUGUGCUUCGAGGCAUGGUGGUUUCCAUUUUUCGUUUGUUACUUUCGCAUCGUUCGGUGCAUUUUGGGGGCUGUUUUGGCUUUUGGUUGCUUGCUUGGCCUUUUGGUUGGGUGGGUCGCUACUAGUCGGGUGGCUUUCGGGAAUGUCGACCGGGAAGGUGCAUGAGUGGUGAUUGGUUUGUUAUGUGUGGAUGGCUGUUUGCUUGCGCAACAACUUCCAUGCUGCAUACCUCUUCAGUUUUGCGGCAAGGCUUGGUUUGUCUUGAGCGUAUUGUGGGUUUCUUGUGUUGCAUACCUAAUUGAUGGUAACGUGUGGGUUUCAUGAUUUUCCUUUUCGUCGUGCGUCGUUCAUGCGGCGUGGGAUGAACAAUGAAGCGGUCUUUGUGAUCCACCGUGUUGUUGCGUUUGCAACAAUGAUGUGGCCUAUGAAGCAUCGUUUGGUUUCUUGUAUACGGAACCUGAUGUGGGCUUGGGUCUUUAUAAGAUCCUCAUUUUGCCCUCGUUAAGCGUUCUCGCUUCUCAAAAACGAUUGCCUGCCAUGUUUUGGCUUGUCCUUGCAUGGUGGGCUACGUCGAAGAGGAAUGCUACCUGGUUGAUCCUGCCAGUAGUCA